AAAACUACAGGGGUAGCCGGUUCCUCUUUCUUUCUACAUAAUACGUCCAAAAAUGGGGAGAAACGGGGUGAUGGAAUUCUGAGUUCCCAAGGAAGGGGGGAAAAACAAUGAAAGGAAAUAAAAUUACAGAAAAGGCAAAAGCCAAUCUCAUGUGGGACGACUGCCAUGGGAGGAUUUCUAUCCUGCUUUCCUGCUCCUCGGCUCAUGGCUAAAUGACGCUGCCAACUAAAGUCAUUUUAUUGACGACUGUAUCACCAUUCCUGCAAUUAAAUUCAUAUUUGACGGUAAGAGAUACUGUUCAUAAACACUCACCGUGUUUGGACAAGGAAUUCUGCUUUCCUGAGCCUCAGUUUUCACCUGUUACUUUAAAAUAUCUCGUUAAAAGUCAAGUUUUCCAGCCUUUUG
Cervus elaphus (red deer) is the source of this 405-nucleotide long non-coding RNA. RefSeq lists it as uncharacterized. The transcript is spliced from 3 exons. The record is from RefSeq and is a predicted model, not a curated record. NCBI's taxonomy places the organism in Eukaryota, Metazoa, Chordata, Mammalia, Artiodactyla, Cervidae.